RNAcentral lists this unclassified non-coding RNA (174 nucleotides) under uncultured Chaetothyriales. RNAcentral describes it as "sequence contains ITS2". The record is from RNAcentral. Lineage: Eukaryota; Fungi; Ascomycota; Eurotiomycetes; Chaetothyriales.
UCACCAUAUCAAGCUUGGCUUGUUGUUGGGCCCUUUGUCACCUGGUGACAGGUCCGAAAGACAUUGACCGGUGUCAUACUGACUCCCUAUGCAACGAGCUUAUAACAGCACGCAUCUGGUGGUUGUGUGACCCGCUGGAAGCCCAAUUUACCAUGGGCACCCUCUCUUCUCAAA